RNAcentral lists this ribosomal RNA (1287 nucleotides) under metagenome. RNAcentral describes it as "bacterial SSU rRNA". It matches the Rfam family "Bacterial small subunit ribosomal RNA", at positions 242 to 1520 of the family's 1533-position model. The record is from RNAcentral.
UAGCUAGUUGGUGAGGUAACGGCUUACCAAGGCGACGAUCUGUAGCGGGUCUGAGAGGAUGAUCCGCCACACUGGAACUGAGACACGGUCCAGACUCCUACGGGAGGCAGCAGUGGGGAAUUUUGGACAAUGGGGGCAACCCUGAUCCAGCCAUGCCGCGUGAGUGAAGGAGGCCUUCGGGUUGUAAAGCUCUUUCGGCCGGGAAGAAAUCGCAUGGGCCAAUACCCUGUGUGGAUGACGGUACCGGAAUAAGAAGCACCGGCUAACUACGUGCCAGCAGCCGCGGUAAUACGUAGGGUGCGAGCGUUAAUCGGAAUUACUGGGCGUAAAGCGUGCGCAGGCGGUUUUGUAAGACAGGCGUGAAAUCCCCGGGCUCAACCUGGGAACUGCGUUUGUGACUGCAAGGCUAGAGUACGGCAGAGGGGGGUGGAAUUCCACGUGUAGCAGUGAAAUGCGUAGAGAUGUGGAGGAACACCAAUGGCGAAGGCAGCCCCCUGGGUCGAUACUGACGCUCAUGCACGAAAGCGUGGGUAGCAAACAGGAUUAGAUACCCUGGUAGUCCACGCCCUAAACUAUGUCAACUAGGUGUUGGGUGGGUAAAACCAUUUAGUACCGUAGCUAACGCGUGAAGUUGACCGCCUGGGGAGUACGGCCGCAAGGUUAAAACUCAAAGGAAUUGACGGGGACCCGCACAAGCGGUGGAUGAUGUGGAUUAAUUCGAUGCAACGCGAAAAACCUUACCUACCCUUGACAUGCCAGGAACUUGCCAGAGAUGGCUUGGUGCCCGAAAGGGAGCCUGGACACAGGUGCUGCAUGGCUGUCGUCAGCUCGUGUCGUGAGAUGUUGGGUUAAGUCCCGCAACGAGCGCAACCCUUGUCGUUAAUUGCCAUCAUUUAGUUGGGCACUUUAGCGAGACUGCCGGUGACAAACCGGAGGAAGGUGGGGAUGACGUCAAGUCCUCAUGGCCCUUAUGGGUAGGGCUUCACACGUCAUACAAUGGUCGGUACAGAGGGUCGCCAAGCCGCGAGGUGGAGCCAAUCCCAGAAAGCCGAUCGUAGUCCGGAUUGCAGGCUGCAACUCGCCUGCAUGAAGUCGGAAUCGCUAGUAAUCGUGGAUCAGCAUGUCACGGUGAAUACGUUCCCGGGUCUUGUACACACCGCCCGUCACACCAUGGGAGCGGGUUCCGCCAGAAGUAGGUAGCCUAACCGCAAGGAGGGCGCUUACCACGGCGGGGUUCGUGACUGGGGUGAAGUCGAAACAAGGUAGCCGUAGGGGAACCUGCGGCUG